UUGCCAGAUAUUGUAAAAAAUUGAGCUCUUUCUUUUGAAGUACCGGAGUAGUCUAUAAACUAAUAUGCAAUUCAAUACGAUUAUGCAUAGUGGCUGACAAGGCUAACUAACAACAUAAUCUAUAUCUAGGUGAGUAUGAGAUGGAUAAAUUAACUUACCAACCUGCCUCUGACAUCUCUCCCUGUCAAAUGAAUCUUUAGUUUCAUCCCCUAACAUGCAAUUCUGCUCCAACAUGGUAUCAGUAGCUUUAUACCCAAGCACACUUUGUCCUUAAGAAGGUCCAAAACAUAUGUUCUCAGUGAGAUAAACACUCUCUUUGAGAUGUUGAAACAUCAAUACUCAAGAAGUACUUUAAGUUACCAAAGUCUUUUAUCUCAAACUCCUUAGUAAGAUAGCUAUUCAACUUCUGCUUUUCUAUAGAUCAAAUAUCAUCAACAUACACAAGGAGUGCAGUAACCUUGUUUUCAUGUGACUUGAAUAAAUUGGGUAUGGUCAUCUUGACUCUAUUUGUAGCCACAUCUAAGCAUAGCCCAAGUAAACCUCUCAAAUCAUGCUCUAGCAGACUUUGUAAAUCCUAUAAUGCCUUUUUAAGCUUGCACACUCCCAUCAACUGAGAAAUCCUCAAAGCCAGGUGGAACAUCUGUCAAUACUUCUUCCUCUAAGUCUUCACAGAGUAAAGCAUUCGUCAUAUCUAAUUGUUAAAGAGGCUCAAUAUGUUAAUUCUCUAGAAUAGGCCACACAAAGAGCUUUUGAAAUGGCAAUGCUGUGAAUUUCAGUUAAUUUGAGUGCUUAACUAACUUGCCAUGAGACAAAAUUGCAUGCUCAUAUCAGUGAGUUUUUUCAAGAAUAUGUCAUAUCAGAGAAAUUCUACCUUGCAGCAAACUUGACUCCACAACGUCUGGCUUAUUUAUUCUCUUUUCUGCAAACUGUGCUUUAAGCCGUAUGAAAUGUUCAUGAGUACUGUCAUUGCUUCUAAUCUGGAUUUUCACAUGACUUUGUGGAUACAUCUCUCAUUGAUAACAUCUAAAAUAACUUCAAAAGCCUGAUAAGUGAUGUGCGCUUGGCCGGUCACAAUGAUCUUCGGUGCUAUUACUGGAAUAGAACAACCAACUUCACUGGAUAAUUAUACUUGAUUGACUAGCAUAAGCAAAUAAUAUGAAGUGCCAAGCACUUAAAAGAAUUUGACUUUCUUCAUAGAAUGCUUGCAUGGCAGUGAAACUGUAAUAUCUACUCAGACAGUUCUCACAUCCUAAUUAUCUCUAGCAUGUGGGUGAUUUUAUCUAUGCAUUAUCCACUUAUUAUAUAAAUGAGUUCAAAUUUCCAGUUGCAGGAUGUUGAUGAAUGAAACACUGUCAAUGGCAGAUAUUGAACUUUAUCAACAACAAAAAAAAA
Molecule: non-coding RNA, 1392 nt
Organism: Camellia sinensis
Lineage: Eukaryota; Viridiplantae; Streptophyta; Magnoliopsida; Ericales; Theaceae
Source: RefSeq, a predicted model, not a curated record